GGUUAAGCGACUAAGCGUACACGGUGGAUGCCCUGGCAGUCAGAGGCGAUGAAGGACGUGCUAAUCUGCGAAAAGCGUCGGUAAGGUGAUAUGAACCGUUAUAACCGGCGAUGUCCGAAUGGGGAAACCCAGUGUGUUUCGACACACUAUCAUUAACUGAAUCCAUAGGUUAAUGAGGCGAACCGGGGGAACUGAAACAUCUAAGUACCCCGAGGAAAAGAAAUCAACCGAGAUUCCCCCAGUAGCGGCGAGCGAACGGGGAGGAGCCCAGAGCCUGAAUCAGUGUGUGUGUUAGUGGAAGCGUCUGGAAAGGCGCGCGAUACAGGGUGACAGCCCCGUACACAAAAAUGCACAUGCUGUGAGCUCGAUGAGUAGGGCGGGACACGUGGUAUCCUGUCUGAAUAUGGGGGGACCAUCCUCCAAGGCUAAAUACUCCUGACUGACCGAUAGUGAACCAGUACCGUGAGGGAAAGGCGAAAAGAACCCCGGCGAGGGGAGUGAAAAAGAACCUGAAACCGUGUACGUACAAGCAGUGGGAGCCCUGAUUUAUCAGGGUGACUGCGUACCUUUUGUAUAAUGGGUCAGCGACUUAUAUUCUGUAGCAAGGUUAACCGAAUAGGGGAGCCGGAGGGAAACCGAGUCUUAACUGGGCGUUAAGUUGCAGGGUAUAGACCCGAAACCCGGUGAUCUAGCCAUGGGCAGGUUGAAGGUUGGGUAACACUAACUGGAGGACCGAACCGACUAAUGUUGAAAAAUUAGCGGAUGACUUGUGGCUGGGGGUGAAAGGCCAAUCAAACCGGGAGAUAGCUGGUUCUCCCCGAAAGCUAUUUAGGUAGCGCCUCGUGAAUUCAUCUCCGGGGGUAGAGCACUGUUUCGGCAAGGGGGUCAUCCCGACUUACCAACCCGAUGCAAACUGCGAAUACCGGAGAAUGUUAUCACGGGAGACACACGGCGGGUGCUAACGUCCGUCGUGAAGAGGGAAACAACCCAGACCGCCAGCUAAGGUCCCAAAGUCAUGGUUAAGUGGGAAACGAUGUGGGAAGGCCCAGACAGCCAGGAUGUUGGCUUAGAAGCAGCCAUCAUUUAAAGAAAGCGUAAUAGCUCACUGGUCGAGUCGGCCUGCGCGGAAGAUGUAACGGGGCUAAACCAUGCACCGAAGCUGCGGCAGCGACACUGUGUGUUGUUGGGUAGGGGAGCGUUCUGUAAGCCUGCGAAGGUGUGCUGUGAGGUAUGCUGGAGGUAUCAGAAGUGCGAAUGCUGACAUAAGUAACGAUAAAGCGGGUGAAAAGCCCGCUCGCCGGAAGACCAAGGGUUCCUGUCCAACGUUAAUCGGGGCAGGGUGAGUCGACCCCUAAGGCGAGGCCGAAAGGCGUAGUCGAUGGGAAACAGGUUAAUAUUCCUGUACUUGGUGUUACUGCGAAGGGGGGACGGAGAAGGCUAUGUUGGCCGGGCGACGGUUGUCCCGGUUUAAGCGUGUAGGCUGGUUUUCCAGGCAAAUCCGGAAAAUCAAGGCUGAGGCGUGAUGACGAGGCACUACGGUGCUGAAGCGACAAAUGCCCUGCUUCCAGGAAAAGCCUCUAAGCAUCAGGUAACAUCAAAUCGUACCCCAAACCGACACAGGUGGUCAGGUAGAGAAUACCAAGGCGCUUGAGAGAACUCGGGUGAAGGAACUAGGCAAAAUGGUGCCGUAACUUCGGGAGAAGGCACGCUGAUAUGUAGGUGAAGCGACUUGCUCGUGGAGCUGAAAUCAGUCGAAGAUACCAGCUGGCUGCAACUGUUUAUUAAAAACACAGCACUGUGCAAACACGAAAGUGGACGUAUACGGUGUGACGCCUGCCCGGUGCCGGAAGGUUAAUUGAUGGGGUCAGCGCAAGCGAAGCUCUUGAUCGAAGCCCCGGUAAACGGCGGCCGUAACUAUAACGGUCCUAAGGUAGCGAAAUUCCUUGUCGGGUAAGUUCCGACCUGCACGAAUGGCGUAAUGAUGGCCAGGCUGUCUCCACCCGAGACUCAGUGAAAUUGAACUCGCUGUGAAGAUGCAGUGUACCCGCGGCAAGACGGAAAGACCCCGUGAACCUUUACUAUAGCUUGACACUGAACACUGGUCCUUGAUGUGUAGGAUAGGUGGGAGGCUUUGAAGUGUGGACGCCAGUCUGCAUGGAGCCGUCCUUGAAAUACCACCCUUUAAUGGCUGGUGUUCUAACGUGGGCCCGUAAUCCGGGUUGCGGACAGUGUCUGGUGGGUAGUUUGACUGGGGCGGUCUCCUCCUAAAGAGUAACGGAGGAGCACGAAGGUUGGCUAAUCCUGGUCGGACAUCAGGAGGUUAGUGCAAUGGCAUAAGCCAGCUUGACUGCGAGCGUGACGGCGCGAGCAGGUGCGAAAGCAGGUCAUAGUGAUCCGGUGGUUCUGAAUGGAAGGGCCAUCGCUCAACGGAUAAAAGGUACUCCGGGGAUAACAGGCUGAUACCGCCCAAGAGUUCAUAUCGACGGCGGUGUUUGGCACCUCGAUGUCGGCUCAUCACAUCCUGGGGCUGAAGUAGUCCCAAGGGUAUGGCUGUUCGCCAUUUAAAGUGGUACGCGAGCUGGGUUUAGAACGUCGUGAGACAGUUCGGUCCCUAUCUGCCGUGGGCGCUGGAGAACUGAGGGGGGCUGCUCCUAGUACGAGAGGACCGGAGUGGACGCAUCACUGGUGUUCGGGUUGUCAUGCCAAUGGCACUGCCCGGUAGCUAAAUGCGGAAGAGAUAAGUGCUGAAAGCAUCUAAGCACGAAACUUGCCCCGAGAUGAGUUCUCCCUGAGACUUAGAGUCUCCUGAAGGAACGUUGAAGACGACGACGUUGAUAGGCCGGGUGUGUAAGCGCAGCGAUGCGUUGAGCUAACCGGUACUAAUGAACCGUGAGGCUUAACCUU
RNAcentral lists this ribosomal RNA (2904 nucleotides) under Escherichia albertii. RNAcentral's name for it is "23S ribosomal RNA". It matches the Rfam family "Bacterial large subunit ribosomal RNA". The record is from RNAcentral. Lineage: Bacteria; Pseudomonadati; Pseudomonadota; Gammaproteobacteria; Enterobacterales; Enterobacteriaceae.